CUUUCCCUUCCGGAAAUAACUUGUUUGCUAAGCUCAUUUCUUCUAGGAAUGACUUUCUCUAUCUCUGUGAUUUACCCAGUAAAUGUUCUCUUACA
Long non-coding RNA from Myotis brandtii (Brandt's bat), 95 nucleotides. RefSeq lists it as uncharacterized. The transcript is spliced from 3 exons. The record is from RefSeq and is a predicted model, not a curated record. Lineage: Eukaryota; Metazoa; Chordata; Mammalia; Chiroptera; Vespertilionidae.